AACGAACGCUGGCGGCAUGCCUAACACAUGCAAGUCGAACGAGACCUUCGGGUCUAGUGGCGCACGGGUGCGUAACGCGUGGGAACCUGCCCUUAGGUUCGGAAUAACUCCCCGAAAGGGGUGCUAAUACCGGAUAAUGUCUUCGGACCAAAGAUUUAUCGCCUUUGGAUGGGCCCGCGUUGGAUUAGCUAGUUGGUAGGGUAAAGGCCUACCAAGGCGACGAUCCAUAGCUGGUCUGAGAGGAUGAUCAGCCACACUGGGACUGAGACACGGCCCAGACUCCUACGGGAGGCAGCAGUGGGGAAUAUUGGACAAUGGGCGAAAGCCUGAUCCAGCAAUGCCGCGUGAGUGAUGAAGGCCUUAGGGUUGUAAAGCUCUUUUACCCGGGAUGAUAAUGACAGUACCGGGAGAAUAAGCUCCGGCUAGCUCCGUG
This 433-nucleotide ribosomal RNA is filed under the name uncultured bacterium. RNAcentral describes it as "partial 16S ribosomal RNA". It matches the Rfam family "Bacterial small subunit ribosomal RNA", at positions 29 to 507 of the family's 1533-position model. The record is from RNAcentral.